CAUCAUUAAUGUAGAAAACAUUUGCUCCGUUACUGAUUUUCAGCAUGUUCAUUCUUUUCUUGUUGAAAAACAGAAACGUAGAUUUCCAUUUCAUUUUUAAUUUGAAUAUCCGUUGCGGCAUUACCCAAAAUGCCUCCACAUUCCCAAUAGAUGAAUUACCCACCUCAUUUCCUGAGUAAUCAUAUGUUGAAAAGAUUCUAGAUUCUAAGCUAAAUGAUUGUGCUGAAAUCAAAGCUUUCACCUAGGUUUAGUAUGGAUACAUUUUUAACUCUUAUGGAAUCCGAUGAGUGGUAAUGAUUCCUCAAAUUUGGAUUGUGAAAUGCAUACAUAUGCAAUUUUAUCAACUAGAAAACACAAACCAAAGAGCCUGAGUUACUUUCAUGUGAAGUUCCCUUUUAUGAUUAAGCAUUGGUUACCAAGAGCGUAAGUUUUUCUAAAUAAGAAAUAGGCGCACCCACAUGCUUGCAUGUGGACCACCUCUCAUGUGAGAAGUGGUGGCAAAAAUUGAUUCAAAAGCCUUAUGAGAGCGGCAAUGAGAGGAUUGGGAUUGGUUAAGGUCAUCCUAAGGAAUGGUGGGACCUUGUGUUUUCUCUAGGAGUGGAGCACGUCAUGGAAGAUUUUAUUUAUUUAUUUUUAUUGUAUUCAUGCAAUUGUAAACUUAUUGUUGUAAAUAUAUAUAAUUUUUAUUAUAAAGUUGCACCAUAUUUGUUCAA
Long non-coding RNA from Magnolia sinica, 713 nucleotides. RefSeq lists it as uncharacterized. The record is from RefSeq and is a predicted model, not a curated record. NCBI's taxonomy places the organism in Eukaryota, Viridiplantae, Streptophyta, Magnoliopsida, Magnoliales, Magnoliaceae. The transcript has 2 exons.